CCUACGGGCGGCAGCAGUGAGGAAUAUUGGUCAAUGGGCGCGAGCCUGAACCAGCCAAGUCGCGUGAGGGAAGACGGUCCUAUGGAUUGUAAACCUCUUUUGUCGGGGAGCAAAAGACGCCACGCGUGGCGUUCCGAGCGUACCCGAAGAAAAAGCAUCGGCUAACUCCGUGCCAGCAGCCGCGGUAAUACGGAGGAUGCGAGCGUUAUCCGGGUUUAGUGGGUUUAAAGGGUGCGCAGGCGGAAGAUGAAGUCAGCGGUAAAAGUGAGAGGCUCAACCUCUUCGAGCUGUUGAAACUGGUUAUCUUGAGUGCGUGAGAAGUAUGCGGAAUGCGUGGUGUAGCGGUGAAAUGCAUAGAUAUCACGCAGAACUCCGAUUGCGAAGGCAGCAUACCGGCGCUCAACUGACGCUCAUGCACGAAAGUGUGGGGAGCGAACAGGAUUAGAUACCCGGGUAGUC
RNAcentral lists this ribosomal RNA (459 nucleotides) under uncultured bacterium. Its description in RNAcentral is "partial 16S ribosomal RNA". It matches the Rfam family "Bacterial small subunit ribosomal RNA", at positions 338 to 795 of the family's 1533-position model. The record is from RNAcentral.